This is a long non-coding RNA of Helianthus annuus (common sunflower), 449 nucleotides long. RefSeq lists it as uncharacterized. The record is from RefSeq and is a predicted model, not a curated record. NCBI's taxonomy places the organism in Eukaryota, Viridiplantae, Streptophyta, Magnoliopsida, Asterales, Asteraceae. The transcript is spliced from 2 exons.
AUUCGUAUGUUUCUUGUCUCCAAUUGGUCCUUGGUCCUCUGUUGAGGUGGAAAGUUGAAUUUUAAAGAAGCUGGCUUACAUGAAGAAAAAGUUUUAUUCAAACUUUGAAGGUUCUGGACUGUAAUAUAGAAGUUUGGUUGGUCCUCACUUCCAGAUUAUCAAAAUGCCUUUUUUUAUUUGGUCCCCGGAUAACGACCGAGGAAUCCAAACACCGACAUCAUCAAGAAAAAGAGGAACCACAUAUUACAACAGAAUUGAAUAUUUAAACAUGUUUUGAUUUUAAAUAUAUAACAAAUCGAGUAAGAUGGCAGCAUGCCUAUCACCAUCAGUUCCAAAAUGUUGAUUUGUUCUUGGCAAAAGCAUUUCAUUGAUCGUUAAUAUUGAUGCUGCCUAGAUUUGUUAAACUAUAUCGAGCAAUAGCUGGCCAACCAGUUGCCCCUUAAGUUGCA